This 293-nucleotide ribosomal RNA is filed under the name uncultured bacterium. Its description in RNAcentral is "partial 16S ribosomal RNA". It matches the Rfam family "Bacterial small subunit ribosomal RNA", at positions 333 to 618 of the family's 1533-position model. The record is from RNAcentral.
UAGCUCCUACGGGGGGCAGCAGUAGGGAAUCUUCCACAAUGGGCGAAAGCCUGAUGGAGCAACGCCGCGUGGGUGAAGAAGGUCUUCGGAUCGUAAAACCCUGUUGUUAGAGAAGAAAGUGCGUGAGAGUAACUGUUCACGUUUCGACGGUAUCUAACCAGAAAGCCACGGCUAACUACGUGCCAGCAGCCGCGGUAAUACGUAGGUGGCAAGCGUUAUCCGGAUUUAUUGGGCGUAAAGGGAACGCAGGCGGUCUUUUAAGUUUGAUGUGAAAGCCUUCGGUUUAACCGAGG